Molecule: long non-coding RNA, 3442 nt
Filed under: Sus scrofa (pig)
Lineage: Eukaryota; Metazoa; Chordata; Mammalia; Artiodactyla; Suidae
Description: lncRNA (ENSSSCG00000063240.1)
Source: RNAcentral
CCACCUGUUUGUAAAGCCUCAGGCAUUAUUGUUUAUAGAAAUAGGUCACAUAUUAUGCCACAGGUUCUGGUGACGGACAAUGAAACAAAGUAAUUUACAAAGUCCUCUGCCCUGUGUCCUACAUUUGAAGCAAUUCAUUGCUUGGUGAAUGGCAGAAGCUAUUAUGUUUCGUUCACAUCUGAAUGUGGGUCAUUUGCAGAAACCUAGCAGGCGACAUUUCUUUUAAAGCUAAAAAGGACAAGUGUGAACAUUUAGCUAAUAUAGUAUUUUAAGGGUCAUGAAAAAGAUGGGAUCUAUAACUUUAAAUAGCUCUAAAUUCAAAACAUAUAUAAACACGAAGAAGAAUUAAGUAUGAUUGCUUAUUUCUAACACUGACACUUACAAAUGAGUUUAGCAGGAUAGCUUUAUACAUAUUGCAGUCAAUGUGUUUAUGAUUUAAGUUAGAAAACUACUUAACAUACGGGUACAAAUGCAUUAGACUAUUGCAAGUAUAGUUCUGAACAGACCGUCUGUAAAUAGUCAAGCUUCUCCUAGAGCGACAGGCAUAUGCUUGCCAAAUUCAUUCAUUCAUUUUUUUAAUCUUUUAAAAAUGUCUCUGCAAUCCACAUAUUCUUUGGCAGAGUUGUUGAAUAUUUUCAAUGAAGUGUGUGACACUAAAGUGUUUAUAUGUGCAGAGAAAGCUUUCGUUGGCCUUCUAGAAACCCUUGAGUACUCAAGUGUUAUUCUGUUUAAUAAACUUAUUCUGUUUAAUAGUAGUUAAAAUCCAAAUGGCUUUGGUAUAAAAUUGUACUAAAUAGAGAAAAAGAGAAAUUCAACGAAGGCAUAAAGAAGAGAAAUAAAGAAGGAAAAGUAAUUCUAGCAGAAAAAAAAAUUCAGAAAAUAAAAAUGCACACAGUGGAAAGUAGUGAAAACCCCCCAAACACACACCCGCAUCCCCAUGUCCAGAGACAGUCCUAUCAUGAGUUUCCAGUUAUGAAGUGUAUAUCUUUCAAUGUCUGUGUCGUCUCAUGUUUGUAAGGAAACAACUGCCUUCUCCAUCGACUCCUCUUUCAUAAAUUUACUGUUAUUCACGUAUGCCUAUCAAAUGCCAAGUGCUUGGCAAGUGUAAUUAGUGGGGGAUUGAUAGGUGAAGAAUCCUGGAAAGAGAUGGAAAGGUGCCUUCGUGACAGAGGGAUGGGGAGGUCACGGAGUGUUAAGGUUGUCUAAUAUGGGAAAGGUAUGGCCCCAAUGAUGAGACCUCAUGUUUGUAAGAGCAAUAGGAAGCCAUAAAGGCAAGAAGUGAUUGCCUACAGAUAGAAUGAGAUGAACAAGUUCAAGGGUUAAGGAACUGCCAGAACCUGGAGAAGGUGGAGGUGGAGGGUGAGGGGGUAUUUAAGGACACCUCCCAGCUUCCUCCCUCCUUCCCUUGGGAUGGAUGACCUUGGCAUUUACGGAGCUAAGCAAUCAUUUUCUCCUCCCUUCCCUCCCUCCCUCCCUUCAUUCCUCCUUCCUCCCUUCCUAAAUGGAUAGGAAGAUCUCAACAUUUACUGAGACAGGAAACCCUACAGGAAGAGGUGAUCUGGAGAAGAAGACAAUGGGUUUCUUCUCAGACUGUCAAUAUUGAAGUCCCAUUGAUACCCAGAGUUGUCAAAAUUCUUUUUGUUCGUUUGUUUUUUGUUUUUUGCUUUUUGCUUUUUGUUUUAGUUUUGCUUUGUAUGGCCACUCCUGCAGCAUAUGAAAUUCCCAGGCGAGGGGUCAAAUUGGAGCUGCAGCUGCCAACCUACGCCAAAGCCACAGCAACUGGGGAUCCAAGCCACAUCUGCAACUUACACCACAGCUCAUGGCAAUGCUGGAUCCUCAACCCCCAGAGCGAGGCCAAGGAUCGAAAACCCAAUCCUCAUGGAGAUUGGUUGGGUUCGUUAACUGCUGAGCCUCAACAGGAACCCCAAGAGUUGUCAAAGUUGAUAGAGAGUUCUAAAUUGAUUAACUCACCAGAGAGAUGGGGUGUGAGGAACAGAGAGAGGAUACCGAUGGGCUUUCAGCAAAUGCGUCACCGGUGAAUUGACCUGGACCCAAAGCAAUGAGUCAUUUUGAUUACAAUCCUUCGGUUUCUAGAACUGAUGCAAGGUAGCAUCCAAAUUCUUUUCAACAGGUCUGUUCCUAUACAAGCAUGUCCUCUUGUGCAUAGUCCUGUUCUGCCUAUCAGGGCAUAGGGUGCCAAGAACUAAGGGACAGUUGAAGAAGGGUGAAAAUUAUUUAGCUAUGUAUUAACUAGAUAGUAUUUAGAACUUUUUCCUUUAUGUGGUAAAUAAUACUUUCCUUUAGUGAGGAACAUUGUAAAGAAGAUUGAUUCAGAAGUGGAAAAUCUUUGAUUAUCUUAUGCACAUUCCCUAGACAAUGAAUAUGCUCAUAGUAUUCUCAUCAAGAUCUAUCUUUAAAUUAUUUCCAUCUAAAUUAAUUUUCCUAAGUAAUAAAUGACAGCAGCUAAAACUUAUAAGGCUAUUUGGAACUAUUAAGACAAUGAUUAAGAAUAUAUCAUCACCCCGAAAACUAAUUAACUCGAGCACCAGCCUUUUGGGUUUGUGUACAGCUUCCAGGAAUAUAAAAGCUUAAACAAAUCUAACUGACAUUUAAACUGUGGUGUCUCAUUCUCCGCGUAUUAUAAAGAAAUAUGUGCACAGCCUAUAGAUCUUUUGGACUAUUUAGAUAAAGAAUUUAGAAUUAAGGGAUUCAUAUAAAAUCAAGAGAGGCUUUACUCGGAAGGGUUAUAAGGAGUGAUGCAAAGCCAAAUUUGCAGUAAACAUUCUGAGAGUUACAGGUGGUCCUCGUAAUUUCUCCCUAAUGCCACAACUCCUAUAAAGGGCCAUCUAUAAAAUUUGGUGUAAAGGUAAAUUUUUUUUCUUUUUCCUUUUCUUUUUUUCUCUUUUUACAGCUGUACCUAUGGCAUAUGGAUCCCUGGACUCGGUGUUGAAUCCGAGCUGCAGCUACCAGCCUUGGCCACAGCCACAGCAACAUUGCAACGCCCAACCCUUAACCCACUGAAUGAGGCCAGGGAUCCAACCCCCAUCCUCACAGACACUACGUCUGGUUCUUAACUUGCUGAGCCACAUUGGGAACUCCCAAAAAGUAAAUUACUAAAAAGUAUCUCUAGAAAAAAAAAGCUCUAUGACAUACAAAACAUAAACUGAUGAAUUAAAACCACUUAAAAUCAAAGCCAGUGAGAUAAAGUGGCAAAACAGUUAGUAUCAGAAGAUAAUGCAAACUUACAGAACAGAUGAGUAGAAUAAAAAAUAAAAGUUCUUGCUGUGGCGUGAGGGGAUUGGCGGCACCUCUGCAGCACCAGGAUGCAGGUUCAAUUCUCAGCCCUGCACAGUGGGUUAAGGAUCUAGCAUUGCUGCAGCUGUGGCUUAGAUAUCAACAGUGGCUCAGAUCUAAUCCCUCGCCUGGGAACUUCCAUAUGUGG